RNAcentral lists this unclassified non-coding RNA (224 nucleotides) under plant metagenome. Its description in RNAcentral is "partial contains small subunit ribosomal RNA, internal transcribed spacer 1, and 5.8S ribosomal RNA". The record is from RNAcentral.
UUUCCGUAGGUGAACCUGCGGAAGGAUCAUUAGUGAUUGAAUAUGUUAGCGGACCUCUUCGGAGUCCCUAGCAUCAAAUCAUAUCCAUAACACCUGUGAACUGUAAGGCUGUCUUGAAAACGAAAGUGAUUAGAGCGCCUGCCCAUUUUAUACAAACAUUAAAGUAACAAACGUAGUCUUAUUAUAAUCUAAUAAAACUUUCAACAACGGAUCUCUUGGCUCUC